This 71-nucleotide transfer RNA is filed under the name Heterocephalus glaber (naked mole-rat). It matches the Rfam family "tRNA". Rfam says of the family: Transfer RNA (tRNA) molecules are approximately 80 nucleotides in length. Their secondary structure includes four short double-helical elements and three loops (D, anti-codon, and T loops). Lineage: Eukaryota; Metazoa; Chordata; Mammalia; Rodentia; Bathyergidae. The record is from Rfam by way of RNAcentral.
UAGGGUGUAGCUCAGUGGUAAAGCACUUGCCUAGCAUGCAUGAAGCCUGGGUUCAACUCCUGUCACUACAA